UGCCCUGUUUUACCAUAGGGGAGGGAGGUUACUGAGGCAAUAUGGGAAACGAGGAAUAAGUUACCAGGGGCCUGUGGAAACUAGUGGCACCAAAGUGGACAGACUGAGACCGCAGAUCAGACUGGCAUCAAGAUAACAGCUGGGAAGUGACUGUGGGUUAAAUAUUCAUGGAUAACUUCCAGGCACUGGCUUACGCAGCUGUAAAAGAGACAUGUGCUGCCUCUCUCCAGGUAUCCAGAAAAGGCCCUCGUUCCUAAGACAACAAUUCAAGGUCAAGAGAACAAAAAAGAAAUUGAAAAAGAUAUCCAACAUCCUCUCAUGCUGGAAGCUUCAAUAUCUGCUGCAAUCUUCACACUUUCCAGGGAUGUAACCAAAGCAAGUUCUAACAUCGAUUGAGAGUUUACUAUGAACCAGGCACUGUGCCAAGGACUCUACAAUACUAUUUGGCUGAAUCCUCAUAAUAACUCAGAAAAGCAUACAUUAUUAUGAAGUCGUGAGAAUAAAAUGACAGAAUGUAAGAAAGCUUAGACCAAGGAUUUAGACCAAGGUCACAGAGAAGGCAAGAGACAGAAUCAAGUUUGAAACUUUUGUCUCUGAAGUGCCAAAGCCCAUCUUCCACCCACUAAAUGAAAUCAAUGAUUCUAUGAGCUUUCCCAGAACCCACUCAAGACUGAGGCAGUUUGGGGAUGCCAGGAUUCACCAGGUAAACUGAGGGCUUCUGGGCAGUGCCUCAGGGAGCACUACAGGGAGGAAGGCAGCGGCUUUUUCAGCAGAAGCACAGCAAGCCCAAAGCUCAGAGCUGGUUCCUCAGUCCAUAACCUUCGCAACCCCUCCCUGCUGGUGGGGCUGCACCUUCCCCUUGUUCCCUCCCAUUGUCUUUUCAUAUGACCCCCUCCCCUUACUGUCAGUAGCCCUUCAGUAACUCCUCACUGAAGGUGAUUCCCACUGUCCUGGUAGUCUGUCUUUAUUCAGGGAGUUUCGUGAGCAGGGAGUGGUGAGGAGUCACUUGUCACCUGCCUCUAGCUAUCCCCUAAGCUCCCACCUCAUUCCAUACCUGGCCUAGGUUUGAGGGAAGAGGCAUCUUCUUGGAUAUGAGCAAGUACUGGGAAGAUCUAGAGCUGCAGGCCUGGGUAGAAGUGAAGGGGGGAGAGAAAAGAAGGAAGAAGGGAGCUAGUCGUCCAGAGACCAGCAGCAGUGAUGUGACUGCAGACUCAAAACACAGAGCUCUCUAAGCCACCCUCCUCUGACUUCAUUUGGAGACCACACCAGCCCCUUUGACACCUUGAGGUGCACCUGCAUCCCUGUGCAGUCCACUGACAAAAUUCAAGGACAAGGCUGGACACACAGAGGCAUCUCAGAGGUCAAGGG
Molecule: long non-coding RNA, 1368 nt
Filed under: Homo sapiens (human)
Lineage: Eukaryota; Metazoa; Chordata; Mammalia; Primates; Hominidae
Description: HSALNT0314825
Source: RNAcentral